This 632-nucleotide ribosomal RNA is filed under the name uncultured bacterium. RNAcentral's name for it is "bacterial SSU rRNA". It matches the Rfam family "Bacterial small subunit ribosomal RNA", at positions 66 to 695 of the family's 1533-position model. The record is from RNAcentral.
ACGGCAGCGCGGGGCAACCUGGCGGCGAGUGGCGAACGGGUGAGUAAUAUAUCGGAACGUGCCCUGGAGUGGGGGAUAACGUAGCGAAAGUUACGCUAAUACCGCAUACGAUCUACGGAUGAAAGUGGGGGAUCGCAAGACCUCAUGCUCGUGGAGCGGCCGAUAUCUGAUUAGCUAGUUGGUAGGGUAAAAGCCUACCAAGGCAUCGAUCAGUAGCUGGUCUGAGAGGACGACCAGCCACACUGGAACUGAGACACGGUCCAGACUCCUACGGGAGGCAGCAGUGGGGAAUUUUGGACAAUGGGCGCAAGCCUGAUCCAGCAAUGCCGCGUGAGUGAAGAAGGCCUUCGGGUUGUAAAGCUCUUUUGUCAGGGAAGAAACGGUGUUUUCUAAUACAGAAUGCUAAUGACGGUACCUGAAGAGUAAGCACCGGCUAACUACGUGCCAGCAGCCGCGGUAAUACGUAGGGUGCAAGCGUUAAUCGGAAUUACUGGGCGUAAAGCGUGCGCAGGCGGUUUUGUAAGUCUGUCGUGAAAUCCCCGGGCUCAACCUGGGAAUGGCGAUGGAGACUGCAAGGCUAGAAUCUGGCAGAGGGGGGUAGAAUUCCACGUGUAGCAGUGAAAUGCGUAGAU